AGCCGACCCACAGAUAAAGGGUCAAGAAAAAGCAGGAAGGGAGAGAGAGGGCGGGAAGGAUCUAUGAACCAUAGAGAAAGAGACAAUCUACAUUGGCUGGAUUUACCGUGUACGAGCUGGACUGUUUUGGACUUACCUGUUGGCGUUUAGACCUGGACCUACCGAGAACUAGAUUUGUGUACCGAACCCUGCUAUCCUUGACCUUACCUGCGGCCUGGGUGGACCAGGACAGAGAAACAAACACACAGGCUAGUUCCUAACACGUUCAGCAGAUCACAGCAAGACUGACUCUGCCUCCAGGAGACGCAGAGCCAGAUGGCAAAAAGCUCUCUUUAUCUCUGACAGGAGCGUCUGAGUGAGCAUCAGGGACAGUCUUCAACCCAUCUCUCCCACAACUGACGCCUCCACAGAUAAUUGCGUUUGAAGAACCUCCCUUGCUUAAGGGGGACCUAUUAUAUCUCCAUCGCCAUGUGACACGCUGCAACACACUUCAUUUACAGUGCCUUCAGAAAGUAUUCAUAACCCUUAAAUUAUUCCACAUUUUGUUGUGUUACAGCCUGAUUUAAAAAUGUAUUACAUAUCUUUUUUUACUCACCCAUCUACACACAAUACCUCAUAAUGAUCAAGUGAAAACAGGUUUUCAGAAAUGUUUGCAAACUUAUUGAAAAUUAAAUACUGAAAUAUCUAAUUUCCCUAAGUUUUCACUCAAUACAUGUUAAAUACAUGUACAUGUUAAAAUCACCUUUGGCAGCAAUUACAGCUGUGAGUCUUUCUGGUUAAGUCUUUAAGUGCUUUGCACUACUGGAUUGUUCAAUAUCUGCACAUUACUGUUUUUAAAACUCUUAAAACUCUGUCAAGUUGGUUGUUUAUCAUUGCUACAGUAGAUACAGUAGCCAUUUUCAAGUAUUGCCAUAGAUUUGAGCCAAUUUAAGUAAAAACUGUAACUAGGCCACUCAGGAACAUUCAAUGUCAUCUUGGUAAGCAACUCCAGUGUAUAUUUGGCCUUGUGUUUUGUCCUUCUGUAAGGUGAAUUUGUCUCACAGUGUCUGCUGGAAAGCAGACUGAACCAGGUUUUCCUCUUGGAUUUUGCCUGUACUUAGCUCUAUUCCAUUUCUUUUUAAAACACUUUUAAAAACUCUCUAGUCCUUGCUGAUGACAAGCAUACCCAUAACAUGAUGCAGCCACCACCAUGCUUGAAAAUAUGGAGAGUGGUACUCAAUGAUGUAUUGUGUUGGAUUUGCCCCAAACAUAACAAGUUGUAUUCAGGACAAAAAGUACAUUUCUUUGCCACUUUUUUUGCAGUAUUGCGUUAGUGCCUUCUUGCAAACAGGAUGAAUGUUUUUGAAUAUUUUUAUUCUGCACACUCUUCAUUCUUUUCACUCUGUCAUUUAUGUUAGUAUUGUGGAGUAAUUACAGUGUUGCUGAUCCAUUGUUUUCUUCGAUCACAGCCAUUAAACUCUGUAACAAUUUUAAGAUCACCAUUGGCUUCAUCGUGAAAUCCCUGAGCAGUUUUGAUCCUCUCCGGCAACUGAGUUAGGAAUGACAAAGGGGUUGAAUACUUACUGACUUAAGACAUUUCAGCUUUCCAUUUUUAAUGAAUUUCUUUAAAAAACUCUAAAACAUAAUUCCACUUUGACCUUGUGUGUAGGCCAGUAACACAAAAUCUAAAUGUAAUUUAUUUUGAAAUCAGGUUGUAACAACAAAAUUUGGAUAAAGUCAAGGGGUAUGAAUACUUUCUGAAGACAUUAACAUAACUGUGAACAUGGUUAUUUCUCCCUAUCGGCAGUCAGAAUGAGGAGUUAGGAGGGUGGGAUCAUGCUAAAUGCAGAGGUGGGGGUGAAGGAUGGGAUUAGGGCAUGCUAGAUGCAGACAUGGGCGUGGAGGGUAGCAUUACGGC
Molecule: long non-coding RNA, 1897 nt
Filed under: Salmo salar (Atlantic salmon)
Lineage: Eukaryota; Metazoa; Chordata; Actinopteri; Salmoniformes; Salmonidae
Description: lncRNA (ENSSSAG00000106417.1)
Source: RNAcentral